Molecule: ribosomal RNA, 429 nt
Filed under: Gemmatimonadota bacterium
Lineage: Bacteria; Pseudomonadati; Gemmatimonadota
Description: Gemmatimonadetes bacterium partial 16S ribosomal RNA
Rfam family: Bacterial small subunit ribosomal RNA
Source: RNAcentral
UAGGGAAUCUUCGGCAAUGGACGAAAGUCUGCCCGAGCAACGCCGCGUGAGUGAAGAAGGUUUUCGGAUCGUAAAACUCUGUUGUUAGAGAAGAACAAGGACGUUAGUAACUGAACGUCCCCUGACGGUAUCUAACCAGAAAGCCACGGCUAACUACGUGCCAGCAGCCGCGGUAAUACGUAGGUGGCAAGCGUUGUCCGGAUUUAUUGGGCGUAAAGCGAGCGCAGGCGGUUUCUUAAGUCUGAUGUGAAAGCCCCCGGCUCAACCGGGGAGGGUCAUUGGAAACUGGGAGACUUGAGUGCAGAAGAGGAGAGUGGAAUUCCAUGUGUAGCGGUGAAAUGCGUAGAUAUAUGGAGGAACACCAGUGGCGAAGGCGGCUCUCUGGUCUGUAACUGACGCUGAGGCUCGAAAGCGUGGGGAGCAAACAGG